This 251-nucleotide ribosomal RNA is filed under the name uncultured prokaryote. RNAcentral's name for it is "partial 16S ribosomal RNA". It matches the Rfam family "Bacterial small subunit ribosomal RNA", at positions 525 to 775 of the family's 1533-position model. The record is from RNAcentral.
ACGUAGGGUGCGAGCGUUAAUCGGAAUUACUGGGCGUAAAGCGUGCGCAGGCGGUUUGCUAAGCAAGGCGUGAAAUCCCCGGGCUUAACCUGGGAAUGGCGCUUUGGACUGGCAGGCUAGAGUGCGUCAGAGGGGGGUGGAAUUCCACGUGUAGCAGUGAAAUGCGUAGAGAUGUGGAGGAACACCGAUGGCGAAGGCAGCCCCCUGGGUCGAUACUGACGCUCAUGCAUGAAAGCGUGGGGAACAAACAG